AUUGAACGCUGGCGGAAUGCUUUACACAUGCAAGUCGAGCGGCAGCGCGGCCUUCGGGCUGGCGGCGAGCGGCGAACGGGUGAGUAAUGCAUCGGAACAUGCCCAGUCGUGGGGGAUAACACUUCGAAAGAAGUGCUAAUACCGCAUACGUCCUGAGGGGGAAAGCGGGGGAUCGCAAGACCUCGCGCGAUUGGAGUGGCCGAUGUCAGAUUAGCUAGUUGGUGGGGUAAAGGCAUACCAAGGCGACGAUCUGUAGCUGGUCUGAGAGGAUGAUCAGCCACACUGGGACUGAGACACGGCCCAGACUCCUACGGGAGGCAGCAGUGGGGAAUUUUGGACAAUGGGGGCAACCCUGAUCCAGCCAUUCCGCGUGAGUGAAGAAGGCCUUCGGGUUGUAAAGCUCUUUCGGCAGGAACGAAACGGUGGGCUCUAACAUAGUCCGCUAAUGACGGUACCUGAAGAAGAAGCACCGGCUAACUACGUG
RNAcentral lists this ribosomal RNA (484 nucleotides) under uncultured bacterium. RNAcentral's name for it is "partial 16S ribosomal RNA". It matches the Rfam family "Bacterial small subunit ribosomal RNA", at positions 29 to 507 of the family's 1533-position model. The record is from RNAcentral.